Molecule: unclassified non-coding RNA, 239 nt
Filed under: Hevea brasiliensis (rubber tree)
Lineage: Eukaryota; Viridiplantae; Streptophyta; Magnoliopsida; Malpighiales; Euphorbiaceae
Source: RNAcentral
ACACUCUUAGUGGCCCUGAAAGUUCGUUAUAGAGAUAGAAUUACAAUUCUUAGAGGAAACCAUGAGAGCAGGCAGAUUACUCAAGUGUAUGGGUUCUACGAUGAAUGCUUGAGAAAAUAUGGAAAUGCCAAUGUAUGGAAGUAUUUCACUGACCUUUUCGAUUAUCUACCUCUAACAGCCCUCAUUGAGAGUCAGGUCUUCUGUUUGCAUGGUGGACUUUCACCAUCUUUGGAUACAUU